RNAcentral lists this microRNA (19 nucleotides) under Gadus morhua (Atlantic cod). RNAcentral's name for it is "gmo-miR-218a-3p". Its record names the gene gmo-miR-218a-3p. The record is from miRBase by way of RNAcentral. Lineage: Eukaryota; Metazoa; Chordata; Actinopteri; Gadiformes; Gadidae.
ACAUGGUUCCGUCAAGCGC